UUAGUGCCCUCAUAUAAGAGAACCCCAAAACUCCCUGUCCCUUCCACCAUGUGAGGACACAGUAGGAAAUUGGCUGCCUGCAAACAGGAAAAGGCCCCUCAAUGGAAACUGACCAUGCUGGCAUGCUGUUCUCAAACCUAGCCUGCAGAACUAUGAGAAAUAAAUUUCCAUGGUUUUAAGCCACCCAGUCAAUGGUAUUUUGUUACAGCAGCAUGAAUAAGACAAUCAGCCAGAUCUGAUUUAUCAACCAACUCACCUAAGAUACAUAAGCAAGGUAGCCAGAGCCAGUCAAGACCAGGCCAGAUGUGUAGGUCUUCCCAGCCAAUCCACAGAUACAUAAACAAGAAGGCGUGUUUAUUAUUGUAAAGCACAGAGGUUUUGUGCAUGUUUUUAAGCAGCAUUAUUGUGGCCAUAGAUUACCAAUCAAAAGCUUAACAACAAUCCUACAGGGUAGACAUGACUUUUUUUGUUUAAAUGUCAACCAAUAUGAAAGCAGAAGAGGUUAAACGAUUUGGCCAAGAUCUCACAUUACACAUUCGAUUGGAACCCAGGGAUAUCUAAUUCCAUGGUUUUAAUUCUAUAAUUUACGGAUUAAUUUUCCUUAGAUCCUUGAUACUUAUUCUUUAUUGACUAGUGACUUUUAGUGGAUAAUUUGAUCAUGUUGUCUUCCUCCUUAAGGUACUAUAUCUUGUUUAAAUUUUAUGUUUGCAGAGCCUGGAGUUUUGUAAUUAAGUAAAUAUUAAGGAUAUGGAACAUAAAGUAGAGAGAAUGUAUCAGAAAAAGCUACAGAUAAAAUACACUAAAGGAAAGACACGAGGAAGAAGUUGAGUCAAUAUAUGUUUGAGAACACCCUAAUAUCCUUUGGGACGUUGGGUGUAUUUAUAAAAAGGAGAGUGGAGAGUGUUCUAGAAGAACCCCAGAUUUUUCCAAGAGAGCACACAGAGAAUAAUUUCACCAGAAAGUACCUGCACAUAAUUCAGAGGACAAGGGUGCUUCAAGGGGAAGGAGAAAGUGAAGAGAAGAAAUAGAAGAUAGAAAGAAAUCAAGAUAAGCUUUGCCUACAGUGUCUUUACAGACUUUGAGAGGGUGGAAAGAGUAAAUGUAACAUGGAGCUGGGUGCACACUAUGGGAGGUAUGCUUCCUAUACACUGUCUUCCUUACCUUUUUAAGGGUGAGUGUUACAGAUCUACUCUGAUAUCCUGAUAAAAGCUACAGACCUUCUUGUCAAAAAAAAAAAAAUGCAUACACACACACACACACAUACUUGGUUUCAGGGAAUUUGGGGUGUUCACAGGUUCCUUGAUGUCCAUUCACAGACCCCACUUCAGGGAAACAGCCUAACAUGUAGAAGAGUUCAAGAUCAGAACUAGGAUGGUAAGGGAUAUUACAUUACAAAGAACAAUGGUCUUGGGUCUCUUAUUUCUAACAAUCUCAUAGGGAAUAAGAAGAUUUUGGUAAAAGUGAACAUUUAUUGAAGAUUUUUGCACUUUCACUGAUAUGUAAUGUUUAUACAUAUUUCUGGGCUACAUGUCAUAUUUUGUUACAUAUAUAAAAUGUGUAAUGAUCAAGUUACAGUAUUAGGGUAUCUAUCACCUUGUGUAUUUAUCAUUUCUAUGUGAUGGAAACAUUUCAAGUCCUCUCU
Non-coding RNA from Macaca mulatta (Rhesus monkey), 1642 nucleotides. Lineage: Eukaryota; Metazoa; Chordata; Mammalia; Primates; Cercopithecidae. The record is from RefSeq and is a predicted model, not a curated record.